Molecule: ribosomal RNA, 492 nt
Filed under: uncultured bacterium
Lineage: Bacteria
Description: partial 16S ribosomal RNA
Rfam family: Bacterial small subunit ribosomal RNA
Source: RNAcentral
AGUGAACGCUGGCGGUAGGCCUAACACAUGCAAGUCGAACGGCAGCACAGUAAGAGCUUGCUCUUACGGGUGGCGAGUGGCGGACGGGUGAGGAAUACAUCGGAAUCUACUUUUUCGUGGGGGAUAACGUAGGGAAACUUACGCUAAUACCGCAUACGACAUACGGGUGAAAGCAGGGGAUCUUCGGACCUUGCGCGAUUGAAUGAGCCGAUGUCGGAUCAGCUAGUUGGCGGGGUAAAGGCCCACCAAGGCGACGAUCCGUAGCUGGUCUGAGAGGAUGAUCAGCCACACUGGAACUGAGACACGGUCCAGACUCCUACGGGAGGCAGCAGUGGGGAAUAUUGGACAAUGGGCGCAAGCCUGAUCCAGCCAUACCGCGUGGGUGAAGAAGGCCUUCGGGUUUUAAAGCCCUUUUGUUGGGAAAGAAAAGCAGCAGGUUAAUACCCCGCUGUUCUGACGGUACCCAAAGAAUAAGCACCGGCUAACUUCGUG